Long non-coding RNA from Amphimedon queenslandica, 458 nucleotides. RefSeq lists it as uncharacterized. The transcript has 2 exons. Lineage: Eukaryota; Metazoa; Porifera; Demospongiae; Haplosclerida; Niphatidae. The record is from RefSeq and is a predicted model, not a curated record.
GUGUGUAUAGUAACUUACCAUUAUUGAGUAGUAGAACCCUGCAGAGAAUAUGAAGAAAGGUAUAGUUAGAGAGGGAGUAUGUUAUUAUGUGUAUUGUUCUUUAUGUAGUGAGUAGUACCCUGUAUACUGUGGUACUUGUAGUCGUUACACUGUGUGGGAGAGACAAUACAUGUAGUGAGUAGUACCCUGUAGACAGUAUGUGUGAGACAGAACUGCUUUUGCUACUUCUACGGCCUUGCAAAUGAGAAACGAAAAAUACUAGAAUUGGAGGAAAUAGAAUCUGAAUGCAUGAGACGUAGUUCCUGGAAUUUUGAAAAACCAGUUAAGAAGUAGAAAGAUCGCUGAAAAUGAAAGCAGUUCUCAAAUGGAAUGUAACUAACAAAUUUGCAGCUAAUUGUUGUUAAUGGAAAGUAUAAUUAAAAUGUUCUAUUUCAAUAUAAUAGAUUCUCUUAGUGCUA